This 307-nucleotide ribosomal RNA is filed under the name uncultured Ascomycota. Its description in RNAcentral is "SSU rRNA". It matches the Rfam family "Eukaryotic small subunit ribosomal RNA", at positions 61 to 372 of the family's 1831-position model. Lineage: Eukaryota; Fungi; Ascomycota. The record is from RNAcentral.
AAGUAUAAGCAAUUAUACCGUGAAACUGCGAAUGGCUCAUUAAAUCAGUUAUCGUUUAUUUGAUAGUACCUUACUACUUGGAUAACCGUGGUAAUUCUAGAGCUAAUACAUGCUAAAAACCCCGACUUCGGAAGGGGUGUAUUUAUUAGAUAAAAAACCAAUGCCCUUCGGGGCUCCUUGGUGAUUCAUGAUAACUUCUCGAAUCGCAUGGCCUUGCGCCGGCGAUGGUUCAUUCAAAUUUCUGCCCUAUCAACUUUCGAUGGUAGGAUAGUGGCCUACCAUGGUUUCAACGGGUAACGGGGAAUAA